UCCAACCUUGGUGAUUCUAUGAUUCUAUGAAUUCGAUUUUCUGAUAUAUUUUUAUUUUCUUGUCACUUGCCCACAUGCGUGAAUGUUCAUCUGAGGAAGUAUUUUAUGAAAUAGAUCAUUCCAAACACAACCAGGAAAAAAAAGCACGUUUGCCAUGCAAACUUAUUGAUAAUCGCCACUUAUCAAAUGUAGAAACAAGCAUUAUUUUGUAUGCAAUUUGGAAUGAUACAUUAAUUUAAAUUGCAUGUUACUUUAAAAUACUGUGCAGAUAGGAAAAGGAAGAAUUAGAGAAAUGCAUUGUUGCAAGUUGUACGUUUUGAACUGUGAAGCGAUUUAUGAAGGAAAGCAACAAAGUUGGGUGUCUGGCACCAGCAGAGGAGAUUGUGGCGUGAAAAAAAACAUGAAAUACAAAGACUGAAUAUUAUCACUACUAGCAAUACUCUUCUAAUAUACCAUAUAUACUUUGCACACAGGGUGGGAGCCUUUACUACUGCCACACUCUGGUCAGCAGGUGCUGGAGGCUGGCACUGACUUGCUCUGAGAAGGCUUCUGCCCAGCUUUCCAGGAAGGUUUGCUGUUUUACUGUAAGCAUGUGAAAGCUGCUGUUCACAACACAGAGAUCAUCUCACUUCUGUCUGAGAGGUUUUUACAGAGCUUUGUGCCUGAGCCAACCUUGGCUGGCUGAAGGCAGCAGGGCUGCACUAUUCCCCAAGAUGCCUUCCGAAAUAGCACACUUGCUUGAGUGCUACAAAACGCAUUUGGGAAUCCCUACUAUUUGUAAAGGCUUUUGAAAUACUUGAAGUAACUUGUAGAAGUUUGCAGAGCUGGUGGGGGUUUUUUUGUUUGUUUGUUUUGUUUUGUUUUGUUUUGUUUUGUUUUGUUUUUAUGGAAAGCAAGAAGAUAAAGAACCUCUCCUCCCCUAAAGUGAAUCAUCCUCCUCCACUUUUGAAAAAAAAUAAACCUGUAGAAUUUAAGAGUAAAACCCAUUAGGUUCCCCAAUCACGUACAGUGAUUUAUAGAAAAAAAAUAUAAAUAAGAGCUGCAGAUGAUUGGGUGCUAAUUUUCUGUCUAUCUUAGUUGGUAAUUGUGCCACUGAUCUAUACAGGGCUGGGAUUUCACCUUCUGAAUCGAAAGCGAAUACAGAAAAAUCACCUUCUGAAUUGAAGUUAUUUUAUAGGUGUGAUUGCAGCCACAACAUUCUUUAUUGAAUUCUGUAAGAUUUUUCCAUGAAGUCCUGGCCACUUUUUGACAUAAUAAAUGCCUUGUAAUUACUUUGCCUGAGCUAAGAAAUACGAGUUACGCUAAGGCCUGUGAAUGUUUACUGCCAAAGUUUGUUUUCUGGUAAAGCGUAAUACUUCAUUUAUGGAU
RNAcentral lists this long non-coding RNA (1368 nucleotides) under Gallus gallus (chicken). RNAcentral's name for it is "lncRNA (ENSGALG00010004719.1)". Lineage: Eukaryota; Metazoa; Chordata; Aves; Galliformes; Phasianidae. The record is from RNAcentral.